UAGGGAAUCUUCCGCAAUGGACGAAAGUCUGACGGAGCAACGCCGCGUGCGCGAUGAAGGUUUUCGGAUCGUAAACCUCUGUUGUUAGGGACGAACAAGAGCUAGACUCACUGAUUGCAACUUGUCGAUUCCUAACCAGCACGCCACGGCUAACUACGUGCCAGAACCCGCGCUAAUACGCAGGUGGCAAGCGAUGUCCGGACUUCUUGGGCGUCACUGGCUCGCAGGCGGGUUUCUUAAUCUGACGGG
RNAcentral lists this ribosomal RNA (249 nucleotides) under uncultured organism. Its description in RNAcentral is "partial 16S ribosomal RNA". It matches the Rfam family "Bacterial small subunit ribosomal RNA", at positions 355 to 596 of the family's 1533-position model. The record is from RNAcentral.